This 326-nucleotide ribosomal RNA is filed under the name Bacillus sp. HC1. RNAcentral's name for it is "bacterial SSU rRNA". It matches the Rfam family "Bacterial small subunit ribosomal RNA", at positions 38 to 352 of the family's 1533-position model. Lineage: Bacteria; Bacillati; Bacillota; Bacilli; Caryophanales; Bacillaceae. The record is from RNAcentral.
GCUCGGCGGCGUGCCUAAUACAUGCAAGUCGAGCGAAUGACGAGGAGCUUGCUCCUCUGAUUUAGCGGCGGACGGGUGAGUAACACGUGGGCAACCUGCCCUGCAGACUGGGAUAACUUCGGGAAACCGGAGCUAAUACCGGAUAAUCCAUUUUACUUCAUGGUGAAAUGUUGAAAGGCGCUUUCGCGCCACUGCAGGAUGGGCCCGCGGUGCAUUAGCUAGUUGGUGGGGUAACGGCCUACCAAGGCGACGAUGCAUAGCCGACCUGAGAGGGUGAUCGGCCACAUUGGGACUGAGACACGGCCCAAACUCCUACGGGAGGCAGC